This 497-nucleotide ribosomal RNA is filed under the name uncultured bacterium. RNAcentral describes it as "partial 16S ribosomal RNA". It matches the Rfam family "Bacterial small subunit ribosomal RNA", at positions 28 to 507 of the family's 1533-position model. The record is from RNAcentral.
GAUGAACGCUGGCGGCGUGCCUAAUACAUGCAAGUCGAGCGAACAGACGAGGAGCUUGCUCUUCUGACGUUAGCGGCGGACGGGUGAGUAACACGUGGAUAACCUACCUAUAAGACUGGGAUAACUUCGGGAAACCGGAGCUAAUACCGGAUAAUAUAUUGAACCGCAUGGUUCAAUAGUGAAAGACGGUUUUGCUGUCACUUAUAGAUGGAUCCGCGCCGCAUUAGCUAGUUGGUAAGGUAACGGCUUACCAAGGCAACGAUGCGUAGCCGACCUGAGAGGGUGAUAGGCCACAAUGGAACUGAGACAAGGUCCAGACUCCUAAGGGAGGCAGCAGUAGGGAAUCUUCCGCAAUGGGCGAAAGCCUGACGGAGCAACGCCGCGUGAGUGAUGAAGGUCUUCGGAUCGUAAAACUCUGUUAUUAGGGAAGAACAAAUGUGUAAGUAACUAUGCACGUCUUGACGGUACCUAAUCAGAAAGCCACGGCUAACUACGUG